GAUCAUGGCUCAGGAUGAACGCUGGCGGCGUGCCUAACACAUGCAAGUCGAACGGAAUUUACAUGAAGCCUAGCGAUUGUAAAUUUAGUGGCGGACGGGUGAGUAACGCGUGGGUAACCUGCCUUGUACUGGGGGGACAACAGUUGGAAACGACUGCUAAUACCGCAUAAGCGCACUGCUUCGCAUGAAGCAGUGUGAAAAACUCCGGUGGUACAAGAUGGACCCGCAUCUGAUUAG
This 237-nucleotide ribosomal RNA is filed under the name uncultured bacterium. Its description in RNAcentral is "partial 16S ribosomal RNA". It matches the Rfam family "Bacterial small subunit ribosomal RNA", at positions 15 to 244 of the family's 1533-position model. The record is from RNAcentral.